This 490-nucleotide ribosomal RNA is filed under the name uncultured bacterium. RNAcentral's name for it is "partial 16S ribosomal RNA". It matches the Rfam family "Bacterial small subunit ribosomal RNA", at positions 30 to 507 of the family's 1533-position model. The record is from RNAcentral.
AUUGAACGCUGGCGGCAGGCCUAACACAUGCAAGUCGAACGGUAACAGGAAGAAGCUUGCUUCUUUGCUGACGAGUGUCGGACGGGUGAGUAAUGUCUGGGAAACUGCCUGAUGGAGGGGGAUAACUACUGGAAACGGUAGCUAAUACCGCAUAACGUCGCAAGACCAAAGAGGGGGACCUUCGGGCCUCUUGCCAUCGGAUGUGCCCAGAUGGGAUUAGCUAGUAGGUGGGGUAACGGCUCACCUAGGCGACGAUCCCUAGCUGGUCUGAGAGGAUGACCAGCCACACUGGAACUGAGACACGGUCCAGACUCCUACGGGAGGCAGCAGUGGGGAAUAUUGCACAAAGGGCGCAAGCCUGAUGCAGCCAUGCCGCGUGUAUGAAGAAGGCCUUCGGGUUGUAAAGUACUUUCAGCGGGGAGGAAGGGAGUAAAGUUAAUACCUUUGCUCAUUGACGUUACCCGCAGAAGAAGCACCGGCUAACUCCGUG